This 164-nucleotide ribosomal RNA is filed under the name Marantochloa purpurea. Its description in RNAcentral is "5.8S ribosomal RNA". It matches the Rfam family "5.8S ribosomal RNA". From Rfam's summary of the family: 5.8S ribosomal RNA (5.8S rRNA) is a component of the large subunit of the eukaryotic ribosome. The record is from RNAcentral. Lineage: Eukaryota; Viridiplantae; Streptophyta; Magnoliopsida; Zingiberales; Marantaceae.
CGAACGACUCUCGGCAACGGAUAUCUCGGCCCUCGCAUCGAUGAAGAACGUAGCGAAAUGCGAUACGUGGUGUGAAUUGCAGAAUCCCGCGAACCAUUGAGUCUUUGAACGCAAGUUGCGCCCGAGGCCUUCCGGCCGAGGGCACGCCUGCCUGGGCGUCACGC